Cryptotermes secundus is the source of this 2663-nucleotide long non-coding RNA. RefSeq lists it as uncharacterized. The transcript is spliced from 4 exons. The record is from RefSeq and is a predicted model, not a curated record. NCBI's taxonomy places the organism in Eukaryota, Metazoa, Arthropoda, Insecta, Blattodea, Kalotermitidae.
UAACAUUAAGAAAUUCUAUUUAUUUAUUUAUUUAUUCACUUCACAUCCAUGGAUCAUUAUACAUGACAUAGGACAAGUCAAAACACUCUAUAAUCCAAUACAACGAUACAAUAAGACAAUACAAUGAUACAAUAAUAGAAUAAUAAGAAGAACAAUAUAAUUUUAUACUAAUAUAAUAAUUAAAUGAUGAGCACUAUAUUUAUCAGUCACAACACAUCAAAUUUGAAAAUAGAUUAACGACAUGUUUCGGCUAUUUAGCCUAUUUAACCUAUUUUCUGUGUUCAUUCAUUGCACUAAUUCAAGCUCUGACAUUCUCGUGACGGGUCACUAGAACACACAGAGACACUAAUAGACGCCACUCAGAAAGAGACUUCAGUAGAUCAACAGCGACAGCUGUGAAAUGCUGAUAUGCAAGCGUUAUCAAACCAUACUGAGGUUUCUGUCCACUGCUGCCACGGCAAGCACACAGUGACGAGUUUGUGAACUUCAUUGUCAGACCUCAUACCAACCUUUUUAUGGAAAAUUUUCACCUGUUGGUCACAUCUUCCAUAUUUUCUCAGAAGGGAUCCCUUUACAAAGUAUGUACGAAUAAAUUUGUAAAGAAUCCAUACAUUUGGAUACAUGAGUAAGGGAAUAUUUAUCAUUAUACUGCUUAUUUAAUGGGAAUGUAGGAUCAACAAUUUUUCCGCAUAAACAGGGCAUUGUGGAGUUAUGUUGCAUUUGUGCCUCAGGGGUUCAGCUACCACUGGAAAUGUACGAGCUUCAUGCCACCUGUGAUGGCACCAGCAUCAGGCUUUGUUUACCAAGUGGACCAGGACUCAGGAUGGUUAGUUAGGACCUCAGGAACUGUCCUGUCAUGUUCCUGUCCCAGCUUGUGGUAUGUACGGCAGCAUGAUCACUCCACCCAGACCCAGCUGUUACUGUGCUGUCCAUUGGUUUGUCCUAAUCUGAAAUGUUUCUGUAACAGGUGUUCCAGCACCACUGGCUCAGGUGAGCAGCAUCCCAGUCUCCGCUGAGAUGAAUAGUGACAGAGUUGUAUGAGAGGCUGGUGACAGCAGGGAUUCUUCCAUAUGGAAAAGCUGAUGCAGAUUGUAAAAACAAAGAAGAGGCUAAUUCUACAAAACCUGUGGACUUCAGUCAGGCUGAAACAUUAAAUAUAUGUCAGCCUGGUUUAGUGGCUCUCCUGCAUUCUGGCAUUCCCUGUAGCUCCUGUGGCAUUUGUUUCCCUCCAGAGGAACGUAUGAAAUACAGGCAGCAUUUGGAUUGGCAUUUCCGUCAGAACAGGCGUCUGAAGGACAGUGGUGCCAGUCAGAAUAGAGGAUGGUAUUUUAGUGUCUCAGAUUGGAUGCAGUUUGAGGAGAUUGAAGAGUCAGAGGAAACAGAGGGCUGCAAACGUGGCAGAUACGGAGGUUGAAGAUGUUCCCAGUGUUUCUGCAGGAGAGAAUCCUGAUGACAAAAUUUGCUCAAUGUGUGCUGAUAAAUUCAAAAAUGUUUUUAAUGAUGAAGAAGAAGAAUGACAACUGCUUGGGGCAGUAAGAAUAGAUGGAAAGACGUUUCACCCCCUUUGCGGUGAAGAUUACGAGAAAAAUGUAUAUUCACCUACUGGUGCGAUGCCACCUCCGUCCGAUCUGGAAACACUGGCUGCAUAAAUUGCAGACAAAACAGAAGAAUCAACAGAUGGUAAGCUUAAAUGCCAUAAUGUGUCAGGCUAAUGUGAAAGCAUACGUCUUAAUUCCAGUAUUUGAUUUUUGAAAAUCGAGAACACAACUAAGUGGAAACAUGAAAGGAAACAACCACACUGAACAAACUUUUAUAUGGCAUAUGGAUCUACUAUAAGAAGAAAAGCAAUUUAUGGAAGUGAUAUUAGUAUAUUAGGAUGAUUUAAUUUAUAGGUCUUAGGUGCCCAAAAUUUUAAUUUUGUUCAGAGUACUGUCGAUUUUACUUUGUGUCAUAGGGUUACUCCUGUACCAGACUACUGGCACACCAUCCCAGAACACAUUAAGCUUCAAAUCACUCUGUUGCCGAGUACAAACUGGAAAUUGUUGCACAAAAAUGAUAUUCUCAUGCAAGUGUUUCUUCAAACCAGCUGUGUGCUAUAUUUUACUGAUCUUGGUCUCACUUUGCACCUGACUGGCCGUGAAACUUUCUGCCAAAUUCUUUCAUAGCGGUUAAAUAUUUGCUAGUUCCCAUCAGUUCUUUGGUUUUUGGUAACAGUGUUGUCACCAGGAGGUGGCAUUGUUGUUUUAAAAUGUUUCGGUAGAAAACUGUAUAAUUAAUUUCUCCUUAUGUUACUACAAUUUUCCACAAAAUGGUUUCCCAUUUCUUUCAUGCACUUUAUAUCUUAUUCAGCGUAUGUUUAGUAUUGGGCAGUUUAUAGCUCCACUUUUUUUAAAAUUUAAUUUUGUUUGAAUGUUUAUGUAAACCAUGCAGUGGUUGUCUGUAGUAUUAGUUCUUUUGGCGUUUUACAUUCUGAUGGUGCUAGAUGUCAAGUUCAGCGUUCAUAUUCAGUUUGUACUGAUCCAAUUUUCUGUGACUUCCUGUAUGAUGGGGGGGGGUCAAUAUAAUUUUGCUUUAAUUAAAUGUUUUUAUUGUUAUAUAUAAAAGUUUAUAACCUUUGUUUGUGCAAAUAAGUUUUGGAAAAGAAUAAAUAUGUUUUACAUGAA